Molecule: ribosomal RNA, 429 nt
Filed under: Bacteroidota bacterium
Lineage: Bacteria; Pseudomonadati; Bacteroidota
Description: Bacteroidetes bacterium partial 16S ribosomal RNA
Rfam family: Bacterial small subunit ribosomal RNA
Source: RNAcentral
UGGGGAAUCUUCCGCAAUGGACGAAAGUCUGACGGAGCAACGCCGCGUGAGUGAAGACGGCCUUCGGGUUGUAAAGCUCUGUUAUUCGGGAAGAAAGAGCCGCUUGUAAAUAAUGAGCGGAAGUGACGGUACCGAAAGAGAAAGCCACGGCUAACUACGUGCCAGCAGCCGCGGUAAUACGUAGGUGGCAAGCGUUGUCCGGAAUUAUUGGGCGUAAAGAGCGCGUAGGCGGUCAUGCAAGUCAAUCUUAAAAGUGCGGGGCUUAACCCCGUGAUGGGAUUGAAACUGUAUGACUUGAGUAUCGGAGAGGAAAGUAGAAUUCCUAGUGUAGCGGUGGGAUGCGUAGAGAUUAGGAAGAAUACCGGUGGCGAAGGCGACUUUCUGGACGAAGACUGACGCUGAGGCGCGAAAGCGUGGGGAGCAAACAGG